This 369-nucleotide unclassified non-coding RNA is filed under the name soil metagenome. Its description in RNAcentral is "partial contains 5.8S ribosomal RNA, internal transcribed spacer 2, and large subunit ribosomal RNA". The stretch from base 1 to 120 matches the Rfam family "5.8S ribosomal RNA", at positions 35 to 154 of the family's 154-position model. The record is from RNAcentral.
GAUGAAGAACGUAGCGAAGUGCGAUAUGUAAUGUGAAUUGCAGAAUUCCGUGAAUCAUCGAAUCUUUGAACGCAAAUUGCACUUUCUGGUAUUCCGGAAAGUAUGCCUGUUUGAGGGUCAGUUAAAUAAAAAUCGGUGUUGUUGCUGCUUUUCGUGGUGACGCAUCGGAAUUGGGUCGUCUUACCUUCGGUUAAGUGACUUAAAAUUUUUUAUGAUUUUUGAACGUAUUUAAAUUUUUUUGUACGUUUGAGAUAUCGAAUGUUUAUUAGGUUCGGUCAUCCUCAUGACUCGCGCCUAUAAUUUUUCAUUAAAUGACCUCAAAUCAGGUAAGAAUACCCGCUGAACUUAAGCAUAUCAAUAAGCGGAGGA